UACGAAGGAGCUAGCGUUGUUCGGAAUUACUGGGCGUAAAGCGCACGUAGGCGGAUUGCUAAGUCAGGGGUGAAAUCCCGGGGCUCAACCUCGGAACUGCCUUUGAUACUGACAAUCUCGAGUCCGAUAGAGGUGGGUGGAAUUCCUAGUGUAGAGGUGAAAUUCGUAGAUAUUAGGAAGAACACCGGUGGCGAAGGCGGCCCACUGGAUCGGUACUGACGCUGAGGUGCGAAAGCGUGGGGAGCAAACA
This 250-nucleotide ribosomal RNA is filed under the name uncultured bacterium. RNAcentral's name for it is "partial 16S ribosomal RNA". It matches the Rfam family "Bacterial small subunit ribosomal RNA", at positions 524 to 774 of the family's 1533-position model. The record is from RNAcentral.